Molecule: long non-coding RNA, 732 nt
Organism: Neltuma alba
Lineage: Eukaryota; Viridiplantae; Streptophyta; Magnoliopsida; Fabales; Fabaceae
Exons: 3
Source: RefSeq, a predicted model, not a curated record
UCUUCGGCGUGCCCCCCUCUGGCUUAGCCCGCCAGUAAUAUUACUUGUUUAUAAAGAGGAAGGAUGAUAGGCGGAAUGAGAGAGAUCGAGAAGAUGGGAGGGGUUUCAGUUUCAUGGAAGUCGCCGAUACUGGAAGGAGCAUACGACGUGUGCGGAUGGCUGGCCUUCAUGUUCUGCUCCGGCUGCUCUUGAAUUUCCGCAGGAAAAGAGCGUGGUGGCUGUGAACUUCAACUAUGCACUGAUGAACAACACCAAGCGUACUGUGUCUUUCAUUCACGCCCCUUGCUUCUACUUAAGCCCCGAGGUUCAGUUUCAGUACCGAUCCAAACAUGGAUUCCACCAGAUGAUACAAGGCGCAGCGAACGGCGCGGCGUUAUAAUUGAACGCUGUCGUAUUGACCCUCUCCUUCUCUACUUCCUCCUACCAAAAUAUAAUUGCAGGUAUCAAUGUUGUUCGACGGGGAGUUCAUGUGCCAACAUUAUUUGAUGUACCCGAACAAAAAAGAAUCCCAUUCCUCCAAGUUGGAUCUACGGACCGCAGAACCACUGUUGAGUGGAGGAAGACAUUUCUAUUUACGAUUCAUGUAUUAUAUAAAAAGCCAAUUGGUAAAUGGUAGGAGUAUGUAAAGAAGUCCAUCACUUGUUGCUGCCACAGCUGGGUCACUAAACACGUACAAAUUAAUGUUUGUUUAUUGACGACGUACGCAUCAAUUACACUCAGAUUUCUUGGUCA